UGCUUUCAAGUGUUUAAUAUUGGAAAACAAUUUAUAGAUUGUAUUUGGGUUUAUAGGUUCCUGUCUAGGGUUUAGAUUUACUAAGUAAAGGUUUGGGUAUAGUAAACCAUAUUAUAUACAUUUUAUUUGGGUUUAUACUUCCUUGAUUAGGGUUUAGCUUAAUCUAUUUAUUUAGGUUUAGGGUUUAGGGUAUAUUUGGAUUAGGGUUUAGUGACUAGAAUUUAGGGUUUAGUAUUUAGAAGGUGAGGGGUAUGGUUGGGAUCAACAUUAACUUCUUUCAUGCAAUCAUAGACAUUGUAUUUGGGUUUAGAUUUAGUAACUAGGGAGUUUGUUUAAGGUUUAAUAUUUAAAUGGGUGGUAUGGUUUAGGAUUUUGUGAUUAAGAUUUAGGGUUUAGUAAUUGUAAGGUGAGGGUUGAGUUUUGGGUUUAGUGAUAACAGUUUAGGGUUUAAUAUUUAAAGUUGGGUGUGAGUCAGUCAUUCUAUACUAUUUAUAAGUUCUAUACUAUUUGGGACAAUAGUUCUAUACUAUUUAUUAAAUAUGUAAUAAUUUACCAUGUUAUAGGUUUCUUGUUAGGGUUUAGAUAGUUUAAUAUUGAAAAAUAGUUUAUAGAUUGUAUUAGGGUUUAUAGGUUCCUGGUUAGGGUUUAGAUUUACUAAGUAGGGGUUUGUGUAUAGUAGUCAUCGAUUUUAGGUGGGUUUAUUAUGUAUAGUUCUUACCGCAUCUUGGGUGUUGUACUAUGUCACUGAGAUAGAAUUGUACACUUGCAACAUAUGGUUAAGAUUAUAUUUCGGUUUAGAUUUAGUAACUAGGGAGUUUGUCUAGGGUUUAAUAUUUAAGUGGGUGGGUAUGAUUUAAUAUGUAUGUUCCAUGGCUGAUAAAUUUUAAAUAUAUAGUAAAACAGUUAUAUAUUAUAUUUGGUUUAUAAUUUACUGUGAUUACAGUAUAGAUUUACUAAUUAGAGGUAAGAAAACAGUGAUGUGAAUGAUUUUGACACUGUCGUUGUCAAUAACGUGCACUAAAUUUUAGCCACAUUUUAUUUUGUUGACAUCUUAUU
This 1056-nucleotide long non-coding RNA is filed under the name Brassica napus (rape). RNAcentral's name for it is "long non-coding RNA (BNAP_LNC023374)". Lineage: Eukaryota; Viridiplantae; Streptophyta; Magnoliopsida; Brassicales; Brassicaceae. The record is from RNAcentral.